UAGAGUUUGAUCCUGGCUCAGAGCGAACGCUGGCGGCAGGCUUAACACAUGCAAGUCGAACGGGCACCUUCGGGUGUCAGUGGCAGACGGGUGAGUAACACGUGGGAACGUACCCUUCGGUUCGGAAUAACUCAGGGAAACUUGAGCUAAUACCGGAUACGCCCUUUUGGGGAAAGGUUUACUGCCGAAGGAUCGGCCCGCGUCUGAUUAGCUUGUUGGUGGGGUAACGGCCUACCAAGGCGACGAUCAGUAGCUGGUCUGAGAGGAUGAUCAGCCACACUGGGACUGAGACACGGCCCAGACUCCUACGGGAGGCAGCAGUGGGGAAUAUUGGACAAUGGGCGCAAGCCUGAUCCAGCCAUGCCGCGUGAGUGAUGAAGGCCUUAGGGUUGUAAAGCUCUUUUGUCCGGGACGAUAAUGACGGUACCGGAAGAAUAAGCCCCGGCUAACUUCGUGCCAGCAGCCGCGGUAAUACGAAGGGGGCUAGCGUUGCUCGGAAUCACUGGGCGUAAAGGGCGCGUAGGCGGCCGAUUAAGUCGGGGGUGAAAGCCUGUGGCUCAACCACAGAAUUGCCUUCGAUACUGGUUGGCUUGAGACCGGAAGAGGACAGCGGAACUGCGAGUGUAGAGGUGAAAUUCGUAGAUAUUCGCAAGAACACCAGUGGCGAAGGCGGCUGUCUGGUCCGGUUCUGACGCUGAGGCGCGAAAGCGUGGGGAGCAAACAGGAUUAGNUACCCUGGUAGUCCACGCCGUAAACGAUNAAUGCCAGCCGUUGGCNNGCUUGCAGNUCA
Molecule: ribosomal RNA, 790 nt
Filed under: Methylobacterium sp. AKB-2008-EN5
Lineage: Bacteria; Pseudomonadati; Pseudomonadota; Alphaproteobacteria; Hyphomicrobiales; Methylobacteriaceae
Description: bacterial SSU rRNA
Rfam family: Bacterial small subunit ribosomal RNA
Source: RNAcentral